Molecule: ribosomal RNA, 468 nt
Filed under: uncultured bacterium
Lineage: Bacteria
Description: partial 16S ribosomal RNA
Rfam family: Bacterial small subunit ribosomal RNA
Source: RNAcentral
GACGAACGCUGGCGGCGUGCUUAACACAUGCAAGUCGAACGGAAAGGCCCUGCUUUUGUGGGGUUCUCGAGUGGCGAACGGGUGAGUAACACGUGAGUAACCUGCCCUUGACUUUGGGAUAACUUCAGGAAACUGGGGCUAAUACCGGAUAGGAGCUCCUGCUGCAUGGUGGGGGUUGGAAAGUUUCGGCGGUUGGGGCUGGACUCGCGGCUUAUCAGCUUGUUGGUGGGGUAGUGGCUUACCAAGGCUUUGACGGGUAGCCGGCCUGAGAGGGUGACCGGCCACCUUGGGACUGCGAGACGGCGCAGACUCCAACGGGAGGCAGCAGUGGCGAAUAUUGCACAAUGGGCGGAAGCCUGAUGCAGAAACGCCGCGUGCGGGAUGACGGCCUUCGGGUUGUAAACCGCUUUCGCCUGUGACGAAGCGUGAGUGACGGUAAUGGGUAAAGAAGCACCGGCUAACUACGUG